ACAGGGAGCAAACUGGCUGGGAUUUCCUACAUUGGCUUGAACACUGGUGCAGGACAUUGCGACAGACUGGAAGGAGGACACUGUCACUCAGAAAGGGGCCGGAUGUUAGGGGACUCUAGCCAGAGGGCCAGGUCCCAGUGGCAGUAUAAUAGAAGGUUAAAGUGGACUAUACGUUCACCUGCUCAGUGCUGACACGUGUAACAUGCCUUUAUCAGUGCACAACAGCCACUUCCGGCAGUACAUUACAUGACCAUACAGAGAACAUGUCCCUGGUGUAUCCCUCUGGGAAGGAAGCCCGGGAGCCAGUCCAUAUCUGGUACAAGUGCCUGAUCAGCAACCUGCCCUGUACCAGCCGUACAUGACAGGCAGGAGCCAGUCUAGAAAGCCACAAGAGGGUGCUCUGGGGCGGGGCAAUAGAGCACAGGGAGGGGGUGUGCGUUGGGCCGCAUGCACAGCUUUGUUCUUGUAGGGCCCUGACUCGCCAUUUCUUUUUGAGGAAAAAGCAUUUUUCCUGGUUAGGGUGGGGAGCGGGAACGGAGACGUCGCUCCUACAGAUCCCGCAGCUGGGUGGAAGAAAACUGGGUUGAGCCUCCCGACUCUGCCCAGCGUCUCUUUCCCUGCCCGCUUUAUUCCUCCUACCGCUUGUUUUCCACACCAGGUCUUGCCAUCACAGCGAGAACACCCACGCGUCCCAUGGCAGCAGCAGGAAACACACCAGCACGUGACGUGGCCAUUUGCCUGCUCGCAGCUGGGCUGAGAUCGUCCCCCGCCCGGCACCAGUCAGGGCCCUGUGUUGCUUCUUGAUCGCAGCAGGGCCAGUCAGCUCAUGUGACUGUCCAGAACCCCCCCAGGUGCUGGAAGUAAUUAUGACCAGGAUGAAACCUAUCCACUUUCCAGAGACCCGUCAGCUCGGCUGGUGAGAGCAGCCCAGGGUAGCUCUGGUAAUUCAAUCAGAGUCUGUAAUUCGCUAAUGGGCAGGAUCGAUUCUGGGCCGCAGCCGAAAGGGGCUUUGUUUCCAUCGCCCCAGCCCUUUGCCAGCUGGCAAGCUGCUGCCAGUUGAGAAUGACAGAACUUCACCCCCUGGCCUAUUCCUCUGUGGCAGAGCAGAGCGCGCCUUGCUGGAGCCUGUCUGGACCAUAUUCCCCAGGGCCGGGCCAGGAUCCUUCCAUACAAUCCAGGCUCCAGGCCUUUGUCCAGCCUUAAGUGUCCCAGGUGAUGGGGGCCUAUUCCACAAUCUAGCACAGAGGCCCCCAAACUGUGGGGUGGGCCCCCCUAGGGGGGGCAUGGAGAAACAUUCGGAGGGCACAACAGGUCUGGGACAGCCCCCACAGGGGGUGCGAAGUGAGCGCCACCCAGCCCCGCUCCACCCCCAGCUCUGCUCUGGCACCAUCCGCGACUCCCGGUCCCGUGCCCGGCCCCAUAGCCUCAGCCCUGGACCACAGCCUGGCUGCAGCUCUGCACACAGCCCUGGCCCCAGUCCCGUCCCCAGCCUCAGCCUCUGGCUGCAGCUCCAUUCCCAGCCCCAGUCUCAGCCCUCUUACCCCUGUCUGUGUCUCAGGGGGGAGGGGAGAAGAGGGUAUUGAGAGGGGUAAGGGGGGCCAUGAUGCUGAAAAGUUUGGGAACCACUGGUUUACCAGAUUUCACUGUCUGAAAUAAAGAUGCUGUAGGCGCACUUCAGCCUCUUUAGCAGAUCACUUUUCUCUGAGGUGUCUGGAGCGCACGAGCCCUGGAGAAACAUGUCCUUGAGGGCAGUGACCUUAACGGGGAGGACUUGGAUUGAGGCAUAUUUCCAUGGAGACUGUUGUGAUGAUUGGACUGACAAAUUGACCCGAAUGGUGAGCUCAGUUGUAAAAAGUCUAUGAAAGUUCACGAGAUGUCACCAUAACCUAUAAUGGCAAGUGUUGAUAGUAGGGCCAGUAGUGUUCAGUAAUGUGUGUUAUAGGAAGGUGCACGAGAACUGGCCAGAGACUGGAUGGAGACCAAAAACAGACCUAAUUGUGAUAACUCCAGUACAGUGAUGUUGAAACCAUGCUGGGUAAAAAGAUAAGAUAUGGACCUGGAAAUGAAUAGACCAGCAUUGAUUUGUCGGAUAUUAGGCUUCAUUGGUGGACAAAAUAAUGAGGGGCUAGGCUAUUCCACCCAC
This is a long non-coding RNA of Dermochelys coriacea (leatherback sea turtle), 2143 nucleotides long. RefSeq lists it as uncharacterized. NCBI's taxonomy places the organism in Eukaryota, Metazoa, Chordata, Testudines, Dermochelyidae. The record is from RefSeq and is a predicted model, not a curated record. The transcript is spliced from 3 exons.